UAGGGAAUCUUCGGCAAUGGGGGCAACCCUGACCGAGCAACGCCGCGUGAGUGAAGAAGGUUUUCGGAUCGUAAAGCUCUGUUGUAAGUCAAGAACGGGUGUGAGAGUGGAAAGUUCACACUGUGACGGUAGCUUACCAGAAAGGGACGGCUAACUACGUGCCAGCAGCCGCGGUAAUACGUAGGUCCCGAGCGUUGUCCGGAUUUAUUGGGCGUAAAGCGAGCGCAGGCGGUUUGAUAAGUCUGAAGUUAAAGGCUGUGGCUCAACCAUAGUUCGCUUUGGAAACUGUCAACUUGAGUGCAGAAGGGGAGAGUGGAAUUCCAUGUGUAGCGGUGAAAUGCGUAGAUAUAUGGAGGAACACCGGUGGCGAAAGCGGCUCUCUGGUCUGUAACUGACGCUGAGGCUCGAAAGCGUGGGGAGCGAACAGGAUUAGAUACCCUGGUAGUCCACGCCGUAAACGAUGAGUGCUAGGUGUUGGAUCCUUUCCGGGAUUCAGUGCCGAAGCUAACGCAUUAAGCACUCCGCCUGGGGGAGUACGACCGCAAGGUUGAAACUCUA
RNAcentral lists this ribosomal RNA (558 nucleotides) under uncultured bacterium. Its description in RNAcentral is "partial 16S ribosomal RNA". It matches the Rfam family "Bacterial small subunit ribosomal RNA", at positions 355 to 904 of the family's 1533-position model. The record is from RNAcentral.